RNAcentral lists this ribosomal RNA (415 nucleotides) under uncultured bacterium. RNAcentral's name for it is "bacterial SSU rRNA". It matches the Rfam family "Bacterial small subunit ribosomal RNA", at positions 355 to 787 of the family's 1533-position model. The record is from RNAcentral.
UGGGGAAUAUUGCACAAUGGGGGAAACCCUGAUGCAGCGACGCCGCGUGAGUGAAGAAGUAUUUCGGUAUGUAAAGCUCUAUCAGCAGGGAAGAUAAUGACGGUACCUGACUAAGAAGCCCCGGCUAACUACGUGCCAGCAGCCGCGGUAAUACGUAGGGGGCAAGCGUUAUCCGGAUUUACUGGGUGUAAAGGGAGCGUAGGUGGCAAGGCAAGUCAGAUGUGAAAGCCCGGGGCUCAACCCCGGUACUGCAUUUGAAACUGUCUAGCUGGAGUGCAGGAGAGGUAAGUGGAAUUCCUAGUGUAGCGGUGAAAUGCGUAGAUAUUAGGAGGAACACCAGUGGCGAAGGCGGCUUACUGGACUGUAACUGACACUGAGGCUCGAAAGCGUGGGGAGCAAACAGGAUUAGAUACCC